This 233-nucleotide unclassified non-coding RNA is filed under the name plant metagenome. RNAcentral's name for it is "partial contains small subunit ribosomal RNA, internal transcribed spacer 1, and 5.8S ribosomal RNA". The record is from RNAcentral.
UCUCCGUUGGUGAACCAGCGGAGGGAUCAUUACCAAGUUUUUCUACUCCCAAACCCCUGUGAACUUAUACCUUUACUGUUGCUUCGGCGGGUUAACGCCCCGGAAGGCCCAAAAAGCCGCCGGAACCAGGCGCCCGCCGGGGGACCCAAACUCUUGUAUUUCUUGCUUUGCAUGUCUGAGUGGAAUCAUAAACAAAUGAAUCAAAACUUUCAACAACGGAUCUCUUGGUUCUG